RNAcentral lists this ribosomal RNA (492 nucleotides) under uncultured bacterium. RNAcentral's name for it is "partial 16S ribosomal RNA". It matches the Rfam family "Bacterial small subunit ribosomal RNA", at positions 29 to 507 of the family's 1533-position model. The record is from RNAcentral.
AGUGAACGCUGGCGGUAGGCCUAACACAUGCAAGUCGAACGGCAGCACAGUAAGAGCUUGCUCUUACGGGUGGCGAGUGGCGGACGGGUGAGGAAUACAUCGGAAUCUACUUUUUCGUGGGGGAUAACGUAGGGAAACUUACGCUAAUACCGCAUACGACCUACGGGUGAAAGCAGGGGAUCUUCGGACCUUGCGCGAUUGAAUGAGCCGAUGUCGGAUUAGCUAGUUGGCGGGGUAAAGGCCCACCAAGGCGACGAUCCGUAGCUGGUCUGAGAGGAUGAUCAGCCACACUGGAACUGAGACACGGUCCAGACUCCUACGGGAGGCAGCAUUGGGGAAUAUUGGACAAUGGGCGCAAGCCUGAUCCAGCCAGACCGCGUGGGUGAAGAAGGCCUUCGGGUUGUAAAGCCCUUUUGUUGGGAAAGAAAAGCAGCAGGUUAAUACCCCGCUGUUCUGACGGUACCCAAAGAAUAAGCACCGACUAACUUCGUG